RNAcentral lists this ribosomal RNA (486 nucleotides) under uncultured bacterium. RNAcentral describes it as "partial 16S ribosomal RNA". It matches the Rfam family "Bacterial small subunit ribosomal RNA", at positions 28 to 507 of the family's 1533-position model. The record is from RNAcentral.
GAUGAACGCUGGCGGCGUGCCUAAUACAUGCAAGUCGAACGCUGGAACUCUAGCUUGCUCGCUUGAAGGAGUGGCGAACGGGUGAGUAAUACAUAAGCAACCUACCCACGAAGACUGGGAUAAUCUCUGGAAACGGGGACUAAUACCGGAUAGGUAAUCGGAAGGCAUCUUCUGAUUAUUAAAGGUUAAAAACACUGGUGGAUGGGCUUAUGGCGCAUUAGUUAGUUGGUGAGGUAACGGCCCACCAAGACGAUGAUGCGUAGCCGGCCUGAGAGGGUGAACGGCCACAUUGGGACUGAGACACGGCCCAGACUCCUACGGGAGGCAGCAGUAGGGAAUUGUCGGCAAUGGGGGAAACCCUGACCGAGCAACGCCGCGUGAGUGAUGACGGCCUUCGGGGUGUAAAGCUCUGUUGUAAGGGAAGAACGGUAGAUAGAGAAUAUCUAAAUGACGGUACCUGACCAGAAAGCCACGGCUAACUACGUG